UCAUAUAUCUGGCAGGAAUGUAACCACAUGAAACAGUGGUUGCCAUCCAACAUAUGUGACCUCCAUUUUAUUGCAUCUUUAGUCUCAUAUAUGACUUGUUCACAAAUGUGACCUCCAUGUCAUUACAGUCAUUCAUGUUUGAACUAUAUGCAUUGUAUUACAAUAAAUCAGCUACAUGAAAUUCAAUUUUUGUAGGAAUGGUGUUCGUGCACGUAUGUUUGCUAUAUGGAUCUCAGUCAGCGUUGGCAUUGGUAGACUGUGGUUGUGGAUACGUAAACCUUGUUGACACAAUCAUGUCAGAGUUCAGCUUGGAUCCUACGAAGGUGGCAGUGUCACUGAAGUAUGUCCUGAAUGACAAUUUGCCUCCAGUCAGGAUAAAAAAUGA
RNAcentral lists this long non-coding RNA (385 nucleotides) under Olea europaea (common olive). Its description in RNAcentral is "long non-coding RNA (OEUR_LNC008872)". The record is from RNAcentral. Lineage: Eukaryota; Viridiplantae; Streptophyta; Magnoliopsida; Lamiales; Oleaceae.